AAAUGACUUGAGAGGUGUA
RNAcentral lists this small nuclear RNA (19 nucleotides) under Arabidopsis thaliana (thale cress). RNAcentral describes it as "snRNA_06630". The record is from RNAcentral. Lineage: Eukaryota; Viridiplantae; Streptophyta; Magnoliopsida; Brassicales; Brassicaceae.